RNAcentral lists this long non-coding RNA (24368 nucleotides) under Populus trichocarpa (black cottonwood). Its description in RNAcentral is "long non-coding RNA (PTRI_LNC002484)". Lineage: Eukaryota; Viridiplantae; Streptophyta; Magnoliopsida; Malpighiales; Salicaceae. The record is from RNAcentral.
CCUCCUCACAAGGAGGAACCCCUAUUUCUUGUCAUCUCCAGCUACACACCAGAGGGGGGGGAUAGUCCCAGAUUUUUCUUCUUCCUGACAGCCGUGGGCAGGGGCCCACGGCUCCCCAAUCUCACUUCCUUCUCUCACAGCCAUCAUCAGCCCUGCCCCUCUCAUCGCCAUUUCCCCUGCCAUUUCAGCCUUCCACCUCUGCCUCUCCACCCUCACAGCAGACCAGCCACAAGCCUCACGUCUGCCCCUGACAUCUCCCCCCUGGAUUUUCUUCUCUACUCCCUCAACUGCACAGCCGGCCCUUUCCCCUUGAUUUUUUUCCUCUCAUCUUCUUCCCCUCAGCAGCCGGCACAAACAGCAGCCCAGCCCUCCUAGACCCAUAUAGACCCAGCACCAGCUCCCACAGCACCGUUUCCCUCCAGCUUCUUCACCCAAAACCAUCCUUCCAUCUCCAAUUUUCUGCCCACUCAAGACAGCCCCUCACCUCCUCUCUUACUCCGAUCUUCACUCAUCAAUCGGCCAUAGACCAACAACAGCCACGAAUUAGCUCCCCCUUCCACAGAUCCUCUCUCUCAGCUGCUCCCUUCUCCAGCCGCAGCGGCGCCUUCUUCAUCCGGCAGCACCCAGCAGAGCCUUCCUUCUCCAGCUCCUCCCUCACAAAUCGCCCUGCAGCCGACAUCCAGCAGCGAGACCCAAGACCAACAGCAGCGAAGGAAGACCAUCAACGCCGGCCCCCAGCGGUGGCAGCAGCAGCAGCAUCGCCCACAGGCGCGGAGUAGUCCGCCUUCUCCCUCCGGUGGCGCCUGCAGUUUCGGUUUCCUCAACUCUCUCCUCCUGAACCAGCGGCCAGCUCGCCGCCUCUAGCAGCAACACCACUCUCUCGUCUGUUCCUCCUUGCCGCUCCAGCACAUGGAGCAGAGGAGAAGAAGAGGAUGACCGAAGGAGACCGAUCUGCAGUGAAGCAGAUCCAAAGAACCCGAACGAACCAGAUUUGAAAAGGGGAAAGGAAGGGAAGCCGAUCUGAAAACAAGAUUAAAACAGACUUGCUUGUUGCGUUUUGUUGUUUUGCAGGUAACGGCGUUGUCGCCGCCGGCAAGGAAGAGAAGAGGGGAGAAAGCCAUUUCUGGCCCCCCUGUUUCUGGUUUGAUUUCACGGCGGCGCGUGGACCCACGCGCCGCCAGCGGCGGUGGUGCGUGAGAUCCACGCGCCGCCACUGUCCUUGCUGUUCCAGAGGUCUUCACAGCACUAUUCCAGCGACUCAGAGGUUACCAGCACUGUCCCGGAUUGUUUUGGGUCAUUUUUUGGAAUUUUAGAAUUGUUUAAUGUUAUAUUUGUGUAAUUUUGAGUUUUUCUUUUCAUAGUUUGUAUUUUAUAUUUUAUGUAAAUGUGGAUGUAGAAGAAAAGAAAGAAAAGAAAAGAAAAAGAAAUGUUUGUGUGUGUUUGUUUUUUUUUUAUUUAUAUUAUUGAAUUAAAAAAAAAAAAGGACAAAAAGAAUUAAUUGUUAAUUUAAAUAUGCACAAAUAUCUAAAGGACAGAUAAAAAUCAUGUUGUAUUUCCCAUAAAAAUGUAGAACAUGUAUCUACAUAUAUUUUGGGAAUGAAUAACUGAUUUAUCAAAGCCUUAGAAUUGGGCUAAAAUUUUAUUUUUAAAAUGCAUCAAGUCCACGAAGCAGCUUACCUCAGGUAGGGUGUGUUAGGGGUGCUAAUACCUUCCCUAACCACAACCAGUCCCUUACCCAUGAAUCUCUGACAAGACCAGUAUAUCCGGUUUCCUAGUAGCCCGCAAUUAAUUACUAGGUGGCGACUCCAACGAACCAAGUAAAACGAACAACGAUAAAAUCGCCAGCCGAUGCCGCGCGGAUUUUUUUGACGUGCGACAGAAUGGCGACUCCGCUGGGGAAGGUAUUGUUUCUGACGAUAUUGGACUAAGCUUUGUGUAUUUGAUGUGUUUAUGUUUUUGCAUUUUUGUCUUGUUUUAUUUUUGUUUUAUUCAUGCAUUUUGUAGAAUUGUCUCAUGCAUCACAUAUUUUGAUUUUUCAAAGCACACACAAGCUUCAGGUUAGGAGGGGGACUAGCAGCUUACCUUAUGACUUUUAGUCAAGGUUUAAGUUUGUGUAAACCCCAACUCUUUGUUGAGUGCUUAGACUGGUAAUAGUUGGACAUGUGCCAUCUCAUUGCCUACAAGCCCCCAUAUUGCCUCCACGAGGGCAAUCACUGGGACAACAAGAGACCCUUUUUAGAGACCAAGUAGUAAACCUAUCUUUUGUCUCACUUAAAAAGAUUAGAACCUGCCUUUAGGAUGUGUGCUCCGUAUAUAUUGUUUUGCAUCAGGGCAAACCCUUCUUGAAGCAUCUUGAACUCAAGACUUUUGGGUGACCCAAUGGCCGUCACUCAGAAAAUUUUCAUUGUAGAGUUUGGGCAAGAAUCAAGAUUCUUGUUUCAUCAUACAAGAGUUACGACCAUAUGUCACCCCUCGAAGGGCGAGUUCUUCAUAUAGUUUACAUGUUCAUACAUUUAUCAUGCAUGUACCGGGAGGAAAAAUAGGUUCCCCCAUCCGAGCUUUGCUACACCUGAUUGAACAAAGAUGAUGAGAAAUGAAGAAAGGAGUCAAAGAGAAGCUCAUUAUCAAAGGGGAGUUGAGAGCAUCAAAGUAGCUAGACUCAGAUCUCCCUAAACAAGUGUUAAGCAUCAAAUGGAAAGAGAAUGUCUGCACAAUCUUCUGUGGAAACACUGCUUGUCCACGUCCAAGUGAAGCUGCACCUCUCCAUUUCAGUCCUGAACAACAACAGCAAUGCCUUCAGUCAUCAACUAAUGACAACUCUGUUCUUGUUCAGUUGCCCUGUUAAUUGUUCAUCGCCUCCACAUCUUUCAAUGGCACCAAAUAAUUGCUAGCCUUCUGUGCAUGAUGCAUUAGCCUUCUUUGAGGUUACCCUCACUGUGAGCUUAAUUCCAGUUCAAAAAAAAACAAAAAACAAAAAAAAAACAAAAAAAACCAUGAUUAGACACUGAACUUCAAUGUGGCAGAGCUCUCUCUACAAAAAUCUGUUUAUGGCUCUGCAAGUUGGGAAUGCAAGAGGGGAUUUAUAAGUUGCAUAUGCUAUAAAAAUCUCUCAUCAGUUUCAGCACAAAAACACUACAGUAGGUUGAAGAGCCAGACAUGGUCUGAAAAACAUGAACAAACACCAAACUUCUACGUUGCAGAGCUCUCUCUGUAGAGAUUGUUUUGGGGAUCUGCCAGUGGGGAAUGCAAGAGGGGAUGCAGUACUUUCAUAUGCUACAAAACUUUGGCUCAUCAGUUUCAGCACUGAAACACUGGAGUAGGCCGAAGAGUCAGACCUAGUCUGAAAACAUGAGCAGUCGUCGAACUUUGACGUGGCAGAGCUCUCUCUACAAAAACCUGUUUAUGGCUCUGCAAGUGGGGAAUUCAAGAGGGGAUGUAGUAGUUCUAGACAAUGUGAAAAGUUACCCCACCAGCUUCAGCAUCGAAACACUGUAGUAGGCAGAAAAGCCAGACUUGAGCUAGAAAACAGGAGCAAAUAUAGAACUUCACCGUGGCAGAGCUCUCUCUGCAGAAACCUGUUUGUAGAUCUGCAAGUGGAGAAUCCAAGAAGGGAUGCAGUAGUUUCUGAUCAUCUAUAAUUUUCUCUCAUCGGUGUUAGCUUGAAAAUGCAAAAGAAGGGAAAAGAGACAAACCUCGGCUGAAAAAUAGAAAGAAGAUUGAAACUUCAACAGAGCAGAGCUCCCUCUACAGGUGUCUGUUUGCUGCACCAUCAGUGAGGAAUCAAAGAGGAGACAAAGGAGUUUCAGAUUCAUCAGUUUCUCCUCCAAUAAAAACAAUGCACAUUUCAUGCAGUGACAGUGAUAGCGCUGCAUGAUUCUAUGCGCUGGCAAGAUUACCUAGCUGUUGGAAGGUUUCCAACAAUCCACAAAGGACCACAACAACAUUGGAAGAAUGACAUGAUGUUGUGAAGAUCAUCAAAAGAAUUGAGCUAGCUGUCAAGAUGGGAAAGAUUGAAGGAUCUGCCAUGGAUUCCAGAACUGUGAAGAGAUGAAUCAGGAGAUGACUCUGAAAACGGGAAACCAUAGUUAUGUGGUUUAGUCAAGUCUCACUGUAGCACCAGCUACUCAAGUGUCGUUGCCAAGAUUGACAUCUUUCUGCCACCCAAGUUGGACUACUAGCAUCUGUCAGAUUCCAGACUUUUUGCCUAACUCUGUUAAAUCCCAUGCAACCACUGUUUCUUAUGUGAUCCAAACAAGAGAUUUGAAUAUCAUGGGGGGAUUUCAGGCCAUUCAGUUGAAUAAUUGCAAGAAUCGAGUCCGCAAAUUGGUGAGCAAAAGACGAGAGGAAUCUGUGAAGGAGCUUGUCAUCGAUCAUUUUAUCGCCAGAACAUCCUCAGAAUGACGAGUGAUCGAAAUUGCUCGGUAAACACAGAUAUUGCCAGAAUAGUUGAUCCAAGAAGGGCGUUGAACUGUCAAUCAUGUUGUUAUGGAAUUUUUGCCAUUCUGCAUUUUGUUUUGGGGUCACAUCUCAUCCUUGAACGAAACAUGUCUUUUCUUUGUCUUUUUGUUGUUUUGAAAUCAAGAGAUGCUUCUUUCAAAGGGUAUUUUGACAAAAAUAUUUUUUUGAUCAAACUCCAACAUACAAAAUUAAAGCUAGUCAAUCCUGAAGAUUAAAAGUGUUUUGAUUGCGGAAAUGACUUGAUGCUUGAAAAGGACAUGAGGUGACCAAACAAUUUUGAACUCAUAUCUCCUGAAACUGAACAACACAUCAUAUAACUAAGUUUUAGCAGUAUGCAUAAUGACAUGUAGUGGAUUCGGUAGUUAUGGACUCGUGAAUCAUGACUCUUACAAGUCCAAAUCAUUACACUAGAUGAGGUCAAAAUUUAUCGAUUCUAACCGACUUUGCUUGAAAUGAGAAAAGGCCAUCUUCGAUAUCCCUUCACUUUCUAAAGAUUAUAUCCCUUGCAGUCCUAUUUUGAGCCUGGUAAAAUAUUCUCUUUCAAAAAGAAACCUUGACUAGGAUCACACCCCACACUGGGGGCAAUGAGAGAUAUGUUAUUAGGAAGGAUGAAGACACUGAUAGAAUCAAUGAUAAAAGAAAGGCUUAGAAUAAAAGCCCAAUGAUUGAGAAAGGGAGAACAAGAAAAGCCAUAGAUUGAGGGUCAUCCAAGAAAACUUUGAGGAAGGUUAUGUAAAAGCAAAAAAAAAAAAAAAAGGUGGAAAUGAAGGAGAAUGCCUAUCAAUUCUAAGAGGGGCAAAAAAGGUUUCAAUGGAAGAAAGACACAACAAAUGUCAAAAGUCAACACCAAAAAAAUCAAGUUUCAUGUCUUUUGGUGUGUCUAGGAUAAAGCCUUUAGUGUCUUCAAAAUUUUUUAGAUUCAUUAUUCAUCAGAGAUAAAGUUGGAUUAGCAUUAUGACCUAUGUUAAGAGAAUUCUGAUAUUUGAGAUAAACAAGGUUAUAUAUCACUUUCUCUACUAUGACAACAAGAGAAAGAGAGUUGAUGAAUAGUUGAUGUUGAUCUUAGGUCUUUGAAACCCUCAAACACCUAUUGAGCUUUGAAAAUUCCUUUCUUUCAUAGCCAUGAACCAUAGCCUACAUUACGUGCUCUUAAAAGCCCUUUUUAAUCAAGUAAACAAUUUGAACCGAUAAAUGGCGCUCUAAAAAACUUGAAGAGUUGUUCUAUAAGGGUCGUGACUUCAUGGAUUAAGCUACUGGUUAUUAUGCAUGCUGAUAAAAUUGAUGCUAAAAAAAAAAGAAAACAAUCUUUCUUGAUGAAUCCUCAAGUUUUGACUUGAGCCUUUUGUUUCUUGAAAUUCACAGAAGGUCACCUCAUCGCAGACCAUCAAAAGAUAUACCCAAGAUCAAAGAUUAAAACUGACAAAGAACCAUGAAAAAAAACCAUUUUAGUCUUACAACGGGUCAAUUUCUGUUUUCAAAAUACAUGACAAUCAAAGGACUGUAUAUUUCGAAUAACGUGUGUUGGAUCUUUGGCCGAAGAAACUUGAUUUUCAAAAACUAACAUCUCUCUGAUUUCAUUUCAACAACUAGACUUUGAAUUGACAUGAUCUUUGAAAUAUGAGAGUUGAUUCCAGAACAAGAAAGAUUGUUAAACAACAAGAACAUCGACCGAAUUUGCAAAAUCCUUGACAAGAAUGACAACAACAUUUCUCGACACUCCUUGAAAAGUUGACUGCUUGGAGGUAAUACAGUGGAUCAUGGGUAGGAAAACAAACAGUAUUCAGAUCAGCUGGGGGCAAUGAAAGAUGAUCAAAGGAUGAAUCAAUGCACUGAGGACAAUGGUGUUUAAAGAAAGCUAAUCAGCAGAACAAGCACAUUCAGAUCAUUACUCGGGGCAAUGUUGUUCAAAGACAGUCAGUGAUUUAGUGAACUUCAGCAGCAAUUGAUGAGCAACGCUGCACUUGAAGGGCAUUUUAUUAUCUUCAUCUUGGGGUUACCCUUUGAAACAUGGCUAUGACAGAUGUUAUCUCAUAGUUGCAUUAGAAUGAAUGUCAGAAAGAUGCACACCACCAAGACUGACUGUGGGACCAUCUAUUCUGAAGCUCAAAUGCGCACUUCACCGCAUGAAUAUGGGUGAUGAACAUCAUUGAUGAUGCCAACACAUUUCCUUUCAUGAUCUGAUUUGACAAGCUGAGAAGAAUCCAUGGAGAAGAACAUUGAGCUUACAACGAUGAGCCUUUUUUACUGCAAGAGGAUAAUUCUUAGAAGGAUCCAGGAGAGAAAAUCCUUCACGAUGAAUCAAGCAACACCACACUUGGGGGCAGAGUCAAGUGAUAAACAGCAAGAGCAGUAACCGUCGAAGACAGCCCAGGAUGUGCACUGCACUUACAACUGAGGGGAUGGCUAGCACAUGAAUGAGCCAAUGCAUCGAAAGAACCAAUAAAGCUUUGGAAUGCAAACAAAGGCACCCUAUAACGAUGGAUCAUCAAAGGGAGGGGCCUAUAUUUCACAUCAGGUAAGGAUGCAUGCAUGUCAUCUAACCUCAAAGCAUUGCACAUACUUGUGAUUUGUUACAGAAAGAUCCUCAAUGAAGUCCAGCAAGAUUAUGGACAAAGAAAGAAUCAUUGAGUCGAUAAUAACAGAGAAUCAUGGUUGUGACCUUGAAACGGGAAGAAGAUGAGAUAAACCUUACUGUUAGGAAAAUCUCAAAGAAAUGAAAAGAUCAACCUUGCAAUCAGAAAGCAUCGAGUUUUCAAACCCUGCGAUCAAGAAUUAUCAAGAAGCACCAAGUUUUCUGCCCUUCUUCUAUCAUCCCUUCAGGACUUCGCCAGGUAAGUCCCAUUUUUCACACUUGUCACAUCACAUCUUUCAUUUGGGUAGGUCACCCAUAACAAUGAGACCAUUUCAUAUUUUUUCUAUCCUCCACCUGGGUAGGUCACCCAUUACAAUGAGACCACUUCAUAUUUUUUCUAUCCUCCACCUGGGUAGGUCACCCAUAACAAUGAGACCACUUCACAUUUUUUCUAUCUUCCACUUGGGUAGGUCACCCAUAACAAUGAGACCACUUCAUAUUUUUUAUAUCCUCCAUCUGGGUAGGUCACCCAUUACAAUGAGACCACUUCAUAUUUUUUCUAUCCUCCACCUGGGUAGGUCACCCAUAACAAUGAGACCACUUCAUAUUUGUUCUAUCUUCCAUCUGGGUAGGUCACCCAUUAUAACGCGACCACUUCACUUUUUUUCUAUCUUCCACCUGGGUAGGUCACCCAUUAUAACACGACCACUUCACAUUUUUUCUAUCUUCCACCUGGGUAGGUCACCCAUUAUAAUGAGACCGCACUUCACAUUCUUUCCGUUUGGGUAGGUCACCCAUCAUAAUGAGACCAUUUUCCAUCAUUUUUUCUUGGGUUCGUCACCCAUACAAUGAGACCAUCAUUUUUUUCUUGGGUUCGUCACCCAUACAAUGAGACCAUCAUUUUUUUCUUGGGUUAGUCACCCAUACAAUGAGACCAUCAUUUUUCUGGGGUUCGUCACCCAUACAAUGAGACCACCAUUUUUCUUGAGUUCGUCACCCAUACAAUGAGACCACCAUUUUUCUUGGGUUCGUCACCCAUACAAUGAGACCAUCAUUUUUCUGGGGUUCGUCACCCAUACAAUGAGACCAUCAUUUUUCUGGGGUUCGUCACCCAUACAAUGAGACCAUCAGUUUUCUUGGGUUCGUCACCCAUACAAUGAGACCAUUUGUUCCACAUUCUUUGUUUUGGUUUAAUGAGGUCGCCAGAUGGGAUCUCAUGUAGCUUUGGUUAAAGGGAAUCGCCAGAUGGGAUUUCAGGUUAACCGAGUUACGUAACAUCUUUUAGUUUUGGUUUAAUGAGGUCGCCAGAUGGGAUCUCAUGUAGCUUUGGUUAAAGGGAAUCGCCAGAUGGGAUUUCAGGUUGACCGAGCUACCACACAUUUUUUUAGUUCCAGUUGAAUGAGGUUGCCAGAUGGAAUCUCAUGUAGCUUUGGUUAAAGGGAAUCGCCAGAUGGGAUUUCAGGUUGACCGAGCUACCACACAUUUUUAAGUUCAAAUUGAAUGAGGUCGCCAGAUGGGAUCUCAUGUAGCUUUGGUUAAAGGGAAUCGCCAGAUGGGAUUUCAGGUUGACCGAGCUACCACACAUUUUUUAGUUCCAGUUGAAUGAGGUCGCCAGAUGGGAUCUCAUGUAGCUUUGGUUAAAGGGAAUCGCCAGAUGGGAUUUCAGGUUGACCGAGCUACACACAUUCUUUGGUUUUGAAAAAGGAGAUCGCCAGAUGGGAUCUCAAGUUAACAAAAAAAAAAAAAGGAAAGAAACAUUUAGAGUUUUUCUUUACAAAGCUUACUAUGCGAAACAUUGAGGAGUUUUGCUUCGUAAGCAUUGUAAAGAGGGGGCAUCUGUUGCUACCCAAUUUUUGACCCAUGUUUUGAUAAAUUUUUAAAAAAAUUCAAAAAUAGCGAAAAACAUUGAAAACCCAAAAAAUACAUUUUUUAUAUAUUUGCAUCGUUUUUAGCAUUUUCAGCGUCGUCUAAAAAGAAUUUAAAUUUUCAAAGGUCUUUCGAACGCGUUCAACUUUUAACGCGUUAAUUUUAAAAUCAUUGAUUUUCCUCAUUGAGUCGACGUUGAUAUUGCUCGUUUUCAAAAAUACAAAAAAAUUAAAGAAAAUCAAAUUUAAAAAAAAAAAAGAAAGUUGAGGAAUCAAGUUUGAGGUCCAAACAAUAUUUUGCGGAAUUUUAAAUAUCAGAGGGGGAGGCAACCAGCCGCUCCCCCUGGCCCAAGACCAUUGGAUCCCUCUCUUUCGGCUGAAAAGCAGGAACUCAGCUCCCCACUUCUUUUCCUUUUUUCCAGCCGACAACAGGCCCUCCUCACAAGGAGGAACCCCUAUUUCUUGUCAUCUCCAGCUACACACCAGAGGGGGGGGAUAGUCCCAGAUUUUUCUUCUUCCUGACAGCCGUGGGCAGGGGCCCACGGCUCCCCAAUCUCACUUCCUUCUCUCACAGCCAUCAUCAGCCCUGCCCCUCUCAUCGCCAUUUCCCCUGCCAUUUCAGCCUUCCACCUCUGCCUCUCCACCCUCACAGCAGACCAGCCACAAGCCUCACGUCUGCCCCUGACAUCUCCCCCCUGGAUUUUCUUCUCUACUCCCUCAACUGCACAGCCGGCCCUUUCCCCUUGAUUUUUUUCCUCUCAUCUUCUUCCCCUCAGCAGCCGGCACAAACAGCAGCCCAGCCCUCCUAGACCCAUAUAGACCCAGCACCAGCUCCCACAGCACCGUUUCCCUCCAGCUUCUUCACCCAAAACCAUCCUUCCAUCUCCAAUUUUCUGCCCACUCAAGACAGCCCCUCACCUCCUCUCUUACUCCGAUCUUCACUCAUCAAUCGGCCAUAGACCAACAACAGCCACGAAUUAGCUCCCCCUUCCACAGAUCCUCUCUCUCAGCUGCUCCCUUCUCCAGCCGCAGCGGCGCCUUCUUCAUCCGGCAGCACCCAGCAGAGCCUUCCUUCUCCAGCUCCUCCCUCACAAAUCGCCCUGCAGCCGACAUCCAGCAGCGAGACCCAAGACCAACAGCAGCGAAGGAAGACCAUCAACGCCGGCCCCCAGCGGUGGCAGCAGCAGCAGCAUCGCCCACAGGCGCGGAGUAGUCCGCCUUCUCCCUCCGGUGGCACCUGCAGUUUCGGUUUCCUCAACUCUCUCCUCCUGAACCAGCGGCCAGCUCGCCGCCUCUAGCAGCAACACCACUCUCUCGUCUGUUCCUCCUUGCCGCUCCAGCACAUGGAGCAGAGGAGAAGAAGAGGAUGACCGAAGGAGACCGAUCUGCAGUGAAGCAGAUCCAAAGAACCCGAACGAACCAGAUUUGAAAAGGGGAAAGGAAGGGAAGCCGAUCUGAAAACAAGAUUAAAACAGACUUGCUUGUUGCGUUUUGUUGUUUUGCAGGUAACGGCGUUGUCGCCGCCGGCAAGGAAGAGAAGAGGGGAGAAAGCCAUUUCUGGCCCCCCUGUUUCUGGUUUGAUUUCACGGCGGCGCGUGGACCCACGCGCCGCCAGCGGCGGUGGUGCGUGAGAUCCACGCGCCGCCACUGUCCUUGCUGUUCCAGAGGUCUUCACAGCACUAUUCCAGCGACUCAGAGGUUACCAGCACUGUCCCGGAUUGUUUUGGGUCAUUUUUUGGAAUUUUAGAAUUGUUUAAUGUUAUAUUUGUGUAAUUUUGAGUUUUUCUUUUCAUAGUUUGUAUUUUAUAUUUUAUGUAAAUGUGGAUGUAGAAGAAAAGAAAGAAAAGAAAAGAAAAAGAAAUGUUUGUGUGUGUUUGUUUUUUUUUUAUUUAUAUUAUUGAAUUAAAAAAAAAAAAGGACAAAAAGAAUUAAUUGUUAAUUUAAAUAUGCACAAAUAUCUAAAGGACAGAUAAAAAUCAUGUUGUAUUUCCCAUAAAAAUGUAGAACAUGUAUCUACAUAUAUUUUGGGAAUGAAUAACUGAUUUAUCAAAGCCUUAGAAUUGGGCUAAAAUUUUAUUUUUAAAAUGCAUCAAGUCCACGAAGCAGCUUACCUCAGGUAGGGUGUGUUAGGGGUGCUAAUACCUUCCCUAACCACAACCAGUCCCUUACCCAUGAAUCUCUGACAAGACCAGUAUAUCCGGUUUCCUAGUAGCCCGCAAUUAAUUACUAGGUGGCGACUCCAACGAACCAAGUAAAACGAACAACGAUAAAAUCGCCAGCCGAUGCCGCGCGGAUUUUUUUGACGUGCGACAUGACUAAACUAAUAUAAUUAUAUGUAAUAUUUACAGGAAAUAGCUGAAAUAAUUCCCUUCCGGGUACCAGAACCAGCCACAGCCGGACUAGGCCAGGCGGGCAGAAUAGUUAAUGAUCGAUGGCAAAACUGUGGUCGACCGUGGUGUUGGAAUGAAUUGACAGUCCUCCUCCUAGGCAUGUCCAAGAAACAAACUUACCAGGACGUAUUUAUUGGUCUGCAUUCUAUCAGUGCGCCCCAUUUAUUAGCCUCAACUAUAAAUCAUAACCAUUAACCCCUUGUACCGUCAUCAUCUUUUAACCACUUCCCUUUCAUCUCAUCUUUUUGGCCUCCAUUUCAUCAUAUUUUGUUUUUUUUAUGUUUUUUAUAUUAAAUUAAUUUUUUAAAUUUUUAAAUUUUUUUUACAUAUUUAUAUAAAAUAUAAAUUAUAAAAAAUAUUUUCAUAUAUUUUGAAAUAAAAAAAACAAUUUUUAAAACGAUAUCAAUUCAACAAUAGCUGCCGACUUUUGACAGUUUCCAUGUAUUUUCAGAGAACUAGGUGCAGGUUUAGAUACGAAGAAUUUAACCUCAUCACAACAACAAAUAAAAUAUUUUUUGAAAAAAUAUUAAUAUGUGAGCAUCAUACGUACACGUGUGUGUGUGUGUGAUGAGAAAUUAAGUUAAUCAUUUGAGAUGCGUCGAAGAUUUGAAGACUAGAAGUAAGGAUCGAGGGAAGAGGAAACAAGGAAAAAAUUAUUUAUAACUCGCCAAAUGUUGCUGACACUUGUACUCUGUACCCACAGCGAGGCUCGGCAACAGAACUAGAUUAAACUAAUAAUUAACGCUUUAUCUUGAGUAGAAUCUUUAACGCUCUACUGACCUCGACUUUGGUUUCCAAUGAUUUCUUACUCGUCGAUGAAAGUGUCUAAUGAGAGAGGUUUUAAUUAUUUUUUAAAGAUGCCAGAGAUCCAAGUAUUCUGAUUUUAUUUUUAUUUUUUUAAUAUCAAAUAUAUAUAAUAACAAAAGAUAAUUUUACUGUUAGUUUCAUCGUUACAUUGUCCGAUGAACAAUAAUUUAUAUACAGAUGAACAGGAACGUGAUAUUGAACUAAAAUAAUUAUAGGUAAUAUUUGUAAAAAAUAGUUGAAAUAAUCCCCUUUCGAGUACAGAGUAACAGGACGGAGCCACAGCCAGAUUGGGCCAUGCGGGCAGAAUAAUUAAUGAUUGAUGGCAAAACUGUGGUCGUAUUUAUUGGUCCUGCAUACUAUCUCAACUAUAAAUCAUAACCAUUAACCCCUUGUACCGUCAUCAUCAUUUAGCCGCUACCCUUUCAUCUCCUCUGUUUUUGGGCUCCAUUUCAGCAUUUUUUUUUUCUGUUUUUUAUAUUAAAUUAAUUUUUUUCAUUUCUAAUUUUUUUUACAUAUUAAUAUCAAAAAUAAAAUAUAACAAAUAUUUUAAUAUAUUUUGAAAUAAAAAAACAAAUUUAAAACGAUAUCAAUUCAACAAUAGCUGCCGACUUUUGACAGUUUCCAUGUAUUUUCAGAGAACUACGUGCAGGGUUAGAUACGAAGAAUUUAACCUCAUCACAACAACAAAUAAAAUAUUUUUUGAAAAAAUAUUAAUAUGUGAGCAUCAUACGUACACGUGUGUGUGUGUGUGGUGAGAAAUUAAGUUGGUCAUUUGAGAUGCGUCAAAGUCUUGACUAGAAGUAAGGAUAGAGGGAAGAGGAAACAAGGAAUAUUCAGUGGAUCAAUGACAUGCUAUGCUAAAAAUAAUUCAGUGUGUUGAAUGUAAACAUGCUUUAAUUUCAACAAAUUUUUAAUUUAAUUUCAAUAUAAUUUUUAAUUAAUUUUAAAAUUAAAUAAUAAUUUAAAAACUUGAGAGUUUGAACUAACACAUAUAAAUCACGAUGAAAUUUCAACCUCUUUAUAACUCCUACAUAAUAUCUUCAAAUCAAUUGUAUUGUAAUUUUGAUAUUUUUAAAUAUUCUUAAAUGAUGAAAAAAAAUCACCAGCUGAAAAAACGUUAACUAGUCUAUGUUAAAAGUCUAUUGACACGUGCUCUAUCUUGGUUAGAUUAAUUUUUUUAAAACAUAAAAAAGACUAUUGAGAGCACGAAGAGUUUUUUUUUUUAUAAUGUUAUGAACUCUGAUCAAAUAGGUCAAUCCUAAAACCUUUUGUCUUAGCUGUUUGUCUAAUUCAAGUUUUAAAUUAAAUCAUGUGAGAGCUAGUCUGAUUAAACAAUUAAUUUUAUGGAUUCAAAUGUAACGUGAAUGACUAAUGAAAACAUAACUUAGCUUUUAAAAAGAAUUCAAGAUAAAUCUUUUUUAAAUAUCGAGACAAUGACAGAUUGAAUCAAUCCCGGUCCCCCAAUAACCCGGAUCAUGAACUCUAUUUGAUUUAAUAACAUUUUUUCUAAACUCUUUUUAAUUAUAUAAUAAAAAUAGAUACUCAUAAAAUUAAACACCAACCCUAAAAUAUAUAUUUAUUUGAAACUAUGAUAAAUCUAUAGAAAAUAAACAAAAAUAAACUUUAUAGUCUAUUUUCUAACCAAUCCAAUAUUAAAGGACGAAAUAAAAAAAAUAAAGGAUAAAAAAAAAAACAUCCAGUCUGUUAGUAAACCUGUCAAACCUGUGAAUCAGGUAACUUGAGCUAGCAUGCCAAACUAGUGAACGGGGUUAUGGACUUCACUGAGAUUAUAAUUUGCUUUUUUUUAAAAAAAUUAUUUUUUAUUUAACUAUACAAUAAUAAAAAUAGACGAUCGCAAAAUCGAACAUUAACUCAAUACUGAGAUAUUUUUUGAGACCGUGAUAACUCUAUAAAAAAAAAUGAAAACCAAUUAUGAAAUUAAAUUUCCAAUUAACCCAAUAUCUAUAGAUGAAAUCGAAAAAAAAAAAAUCUUUCCAAACCCGCAAACAAUGUCAACCAACCAAACAUGUGAACAGAUUUAUGAACUUUAUAAAGUUUAAUAAUAUUUUUUUUGAAAUUAUUUCUUUUAACUAUAUGAGAAAAAAAAUAAUAAAAAAAUCAAGUUCAAUUAAAAAAAAAAAACUUCGCUAAACCCAUAAACCAGUAUAACUUGGGUUAUCCAAGUAAACCCGCAAACUACUUUAACCAUAUAAAAAAACAAAUUAAAAAUAAAUAAAUUACAAGGCUUGGUUUUAAAUUACUUUUAUAUUGAAAGAUAAAAUAGAAAAAAAUCAUUUUGAAAAACAAACAACACAAAAAAAUUUUUAAAAAAAAAAGAAAAAGAAGAAAAAGCAAUACACAGAUUAUUGUAAUCCAUGGGGUAAUAGAUAUGAAUAAACAGUAGUUUCCACUUUAGCUUUCUCUUAAUUAUAGAAAACCAAUAAGCAAAGCGAGAGCAGAGAGAACAUAUAUCAUGAAAUUUUUGCUAUAAAAAUAAUAAUAGCAAAGGCUAAAACGGUAUGCUUAAAAAAAAAGGAAAAAAGAAAAAGUGGACGAUGGACGACGUGGUUUUGUCCCACAGGUUGAAAAAAGCAGUGUUUUAAAACGCGGACCGGCCCAGCGGGUCGACCGGUGACCCGGCCGACCCGGGCCUGGGACCGGUCCGGGUGGAGGCUAAAACCCGCUUGGGAAUUGGCCCGGGGAAACCCUGUCGACCCGCCGGGUCGACCCGGGAACCGGUCCACCCGGUCAAACCCGGGUGAGACCCGAUCACUUUUUUCCCUGCCGCUGCCUCUUCUCUUCCUUCGACCUCCGCGUCCCGGCCUAUUGCACCUGCUGCCUAAGGAGAAAAACCCGAGUUGGAGGAGUUCCAUUGAAAUUCACACUCUUCACCUUCUUCUCACUAGCAUUCACUAUAACCCCAGCUCUCCUAUCAGUCUUCUUCGCCAUCAAUGGCGUCAUCAUCGCCAUCUCCUGUUUCCCUUGCUCCUGUUUAGUAUAAUCCUUUGCUCCUGUUUCCCCAAUCCUUGCCCUUCCUUCCACCCCAUCCUCGCCAUCAUCCUCUGCGCCGCAGUCAUUUGUCCACCAGCACCAACUCCCAACCCUAUCGUCCCUGACAUCCCAAUACUAAACCCAUCCCCAUUCCUGGGUGGCGAAGAACUCCUCGGAACACCUCCACUCAUGGCAGCACGCCUUCUCCACGCUUCCUCCCCAGAAAUAUUCACAUCCCUGUCCCUAUCCUUCUCCCUUUCCCUUUCCCUCUCCCUCUCCUCCUCCUCCUCUUGCCUCCUCCUCUCAAUCUCCCUCAACCUCUCCGCUUCCAUCGCCUUCCUUUUUUUCUCCCUCCUAUAAUCUUCAUAAUCAUUCAGCCUGGCCGGAUCAUACUCCUCAACAACCACCGAAUUCACCCCUACCAGUUCUGGUUGCGGAGCAACCUCAUCGGGUAGCACAGUCGCCGCCGCCACGAACGAAGAAACUAAAGAUUUGGAAGCAGAGAUUUGGGGUUUAGGUUUGUUAGGGUUUUUUAAAAGUGAUGUGAGCAGAAGAAAUUAAUAAAAGUGAAUGUGGACUUGUGGUGUUAAUUUAGAAUUUAGGUUUUUUUUUUUGGGUUGACCCGGGUUAACCCGGGUCAACCCAUCUGACCCGUGACCCGAUCACUUGACCGGGUCGGGUUUCAAAACUAUAGAAAAAAGGCUUGUGCUUCUCGUGCAUCUUUUAUUCCCCUCCCCUGUCCCUUUCACUCAAAGGGUUAGUUCGAGUUUCUUCGCAUAUUGUUGAAAAUAUGAAGGAUAAUUGUUUUGCGACGACUGAUUGUGUCAUCAUCAAAAUAGGUAGGAUUAAAUUGUGGUAAUGAUUUUUUAAAAAAUAUUUUUUAUUUGAAAAUAUAUUAAUAUAAUAUUUUUUAAAUUUUAUUUUUAAUAUCAAUAUAUCAAAAUCAUUUAAAAAUAUCAAAAACUUUAAUUUAAAAUAAAAAUUUUAUUUUUUUAAAAAAAGCACGGCAUCACUACAAUAGUUAACACUCACAAAAUCUCGUGGAAGUGUUGAGUGCUUUUUUUUUGGGUUAUUAACUUGGUUCAUGAGUUUGAACCGGAUCACCUAAAUUAUUAAAUAGUUAAAUGAGUUUUAUCUGUCAAAAUCUUGGUUAAUUCAACUAAUAACCUGAACCGAUUUUAAAUUUUGAAUUUCCUACAUUAAUCUAUCCGGUUGGCAAAUAUUAUAAAUAUGGUAAAAAAAUAAAAAAAAAAAUACAGUACAGGCACACCACUCGUAUAUAAAAGACACCGAAGGUUUGAACUUUGAUCACUGAAUUGAGGUGUUGCCAAUUGAACUUCAUUGGUACUGGUAGAAUAUGGCAGAUGAGAAGAAACAAAACCUGGAAAACAAACCUGUGUUGUCUCCACCUCUACCCGAGAGGAAGAAAAACACCUCACCAAACUUCCUUUUAUCUGUUGAGCUCAAAUAUGUGAAACUUGGUUACCACUACUUGGUUUACAAUGCCAUGUACCUCAUGCUCAUGCCAGUACUUUGCGUGAUUUUUGCUCAUCUUUCAACAUUCACAGUUGAUGAGCUUUGGAAUCAACUCAAAUUCAAUUUUGUGACAGUAGUUCUUUCCUCAACCUCAAUUGUUUUUACUGCUACACUCUACUUCAUGAGCCGUCCAAGAAAAGUUUACUUGGUGGAUUUUUCAUGUUACAAGCCCGGACCAGCUCAUAAAGUAUCUAGAGAACUCUUCAUGCAGUUAUCUGCAGCGUCCGAGGUUUUCACAGAGCAAAGCUUAGCUUUUCAAAAGAAAAUCCUAGAGAAAUCAGGCUAUGGUGAAAUGACCUACGCUCCAAAAGGCUUGAUGCGUGUCCCGCCAGACCAGUCCAUGGCUGAAUCCUGGAGGGAAUCAGAGAUGGUGAUGUUCGGAGCAAUUGAUGAUCUCUUGGCCAAAACAAUGGUGAAGCCUAGAGACAUAGGAAUACUGGUGGUGAAUAGCAGUUUGUUCAAUCCCACGCCGUCUCUCUCAGCUAGAGUUGUGAAUCACUACAAGCUUAGAGGGAACAUUUUGAGCUAUAAUCUUGGUGGUAUGGGCUGCAGUGCAGGACUUAUUUCUAUUGAUCUUGCCAAAGACCUUUUACAGGUUUGUUACUUCAAAUUAAUGGCAAACUUUUACGGUUUUUAAGGUGCCGCCUUCGGAUUUAGCAAUUUAAUUUGAAUGAUUUGACGACGGUACGGUUGAUAUAUAGCAUGAUUUGCACAUAUGUAUGAUAUUCUUAAAAUUAAGCAUGAGUUUGUACAUAUUUCAAAUCUACUUGUCAGAAGGUCUCGGGUUUAAAUAUUUCCUUUAUAUAAUAAAAGUAAUAAUACUUACAAGGAUUGACACUUCAUUGUACCAGGUGCAUCCCAACUCCUAUGCCCUAGUGGUGAGCACCGAGAACAUUACUCGCAACUGGUAUUUUGGCAAUGACCGAUCGAUGCUUGUCACCAACUGCCUCUUCCGUAUGGGAGCAGCCGCAGUCCUCCUAUCCAACCGGACAUUUGAUCGCCGUCGCUCAAAGUAUCAACUUAUCCGUACUGUACGUACACAUAAGGGUGCAGAUGAUAAGUCCUUCAACUGUGUCUUGCAACGAGAGGAUCUUGACACCCAAAGAGUUGGCGUCUCUCUCUCAAAAGACCUAAUGGCAAUAGCUGGAGAAGCCCUUGAAACGAAUAUAACCACUCUGGGCCCAUUAGUUCUUCCAGUCUCCGAGCAACUUCUAUUCUUUGUAACCUUAGUUGCCAAAAAAAUCUUCAAGAUGAAGAUAAAACCAUAUAUUCCUGAUUUCAAGUUGGCAUUUGAGCACUUCUGCAUCCACGCUGGAGGAAGAGGUGUGUUGGAUGAGCUUGAGAAAAAUCUUGAGCUCACUGAAUGGCAUAUGGAGCCAUCAAGAAUGACUCUUUAUAGGUUUGGAAAUACGUCUAGCAGUUCUUUGUGGUAUGAAUUGGCGUACUCCGAGGCCAAGGGAAGGAUCAAGAAGGGGGACAGAAUUUGGCAAAUAGGUUUUGGUUCAGGAUUUAAGUGCAACAGUGCCGUGUGGCGUGCUAUAAGAGCUAUCGACCCGGCCAAAGAGAAGAAUCCUUGGAUGGAUGAGAUUGAUGACUUUCCAGUUCGUGUGCCUAGAGUGGCACCUCUUGUUUAUUAAAAACGUCAUCUCGGAAAAAAGGUCAUCGUCCAUCGUUAUUAUUAUUUCAAUCGGCAAUAUGUUAUUAUCCGAAUGCAGGAGUAAUUAUUAACAUGAAAUAAAAAUGUUAUUUUCACAUCUCUUUUGGUGUCGAAAUAUAACAUUAUUGAAAUUGGUGUUAUAAUGUAGUGGUUCUAGCUAUCUGUUUUCACGUUUCUUUGUGCAAUCCUGUUGUAGCACUGAUCGGGUCCGAUGUUUAAUGUAAUGGCUAUAUCUCUAAUGUCAGGUUCAAUUGAGGUAUUGGCUUAGAAAAUAAUUUGGAUUAUAUUGAAUCAACUUGUGCAAUAUCAAGUCAAUUCAGACUAAUCAAUUUAGUUAAAAUGAUAAUUUUUAUAAAACUAGAAAAAAAAAUUAAUUUAAAAAGAAAUAAAAAGAACUCCAAAUCAACCUAGUAUAAUCUGUCAAACCUUUCACCCAAGUAAUGAAAAUGAGAUAACUUCAUAAAAAAUAAAUUAAAACAAAUUAUAAAACUUAUUUUUUAGUCAACCAAAAUAAUAAAAGAUAAAAUUAUAAAACAAUUAUAAAAAUAUCCAAAAAAACCUAAGUAAAGUGGAUUAACUUGUAAAACUCAUGAAUCAUGUCAUGAAACUAGGAUAAUAUCAUAGAAAAUAAAUCAAAAUAAAUUACAAAACUCAAUUUAAAUUUAUGAAAUCGUUGUUUGGACUAGAUGGCAGACCAUGAGCGGAAUAUGUAGGGCUUUUGAAGAAGAAAUUAUUGUUUCAAUUAUGAGAAAAAUUGUAAAGGGGGGGGGGGAAUUAAUUACAUGAUCGAAUAUAAUAGCACUAACGUAGGCAGUUAGUAGCAAGAAAAGAGGAAGAGUAUUAAAAAUACGAUAUAUUAAAGCGCGUGUAUACAUGCACAUGCUACCUGGAGAGUGAAUUCAAAUUUGAAAGUAUUUAGCAUAUCAUUUAUAAGCCUACAUUUAACCUAAUCAUUAUGGGCCGUAGACAACAUGAGCCCAUUAUAAAAGAUUCAAUUAGUAUUAUCUAAACCUAAUUAUUAUAGGCCUUAGACAGCAUGAGCCCAUCUUAAAAGAUUCAAGUACUAUCUAAAUCUAAUGAUUAUGGGUCUUAGAUCGCAUGAGCCCAUCUUAAACUAUAAAGAGGGCAUUUGGGGAAGGAAAGCAACAAGCCUUGUAAAACAAAAUAGAGGUGAGGUACAAGAAAAUAGAUUUUUCAAUAUUAGAGCUCAAAGGGAUCGUUCAACCACAUAGGCAUUUGUAAAUUAAAUUAAUGUCGAUAGUCUAUGGAUACAAAUGCACAACAUCAAGAUUACCUAAGUGUUAUAAAACAUUAAUUUAUAAAUCAUUAGCAACCGCCCAUUAAGCUAGUGAAAUGAAAUUUAAAUCAUUAAUUUAAAAAAAAUAAUGAUUUUAGAUUUUCUAAUAUGAUUGUGUUACUCUUAAAUAUAAGGAGAGCCCGAUCCUGGACAAACAAUGAUAUAUUCACUCAUGGACAUUUGAAAAAAUAAACAAAAAAGCUAUCUUUCACGUAUUGGUUUAGGUGGUAAACCAGUUUAUUUUUUACCUCAUAUUUUUAGGUUUGAAUUCAAGAAAAAAUUACAAUAUUUUUAUAACAUGAUUUUAUAUAUCUUUUGUGAAUAUUAUAAAGUAAUUUAGUUUAAAUAAUUAUAAUAUUUUCAUUCAAACCUAGCUUUUGGUCCAUAAUAUAUCAUUGAAACUUCAAAUAUCUAGCUUCGAACCAAUUGAUAAAACAGCAAAAUACCACUUAAAAUUAAAUAUAUUAUAUAGAAUGCUUUUGGGAUUAAUUUACUUGUAACCGAACUCCAAAACUCAAAUUUUUAUUUUGUACGAUUGUCUUCAUGUAUAAGAAAAUUGAGUCAUUUUAACAGUAAAAACCUUUAAGUACCCAACCACACUAGUACAAAUGAAUUUUUGGUGCCCACGCACAAUAUUUCUUAAAAAUGAUUUCUGAUGGGGUUCAAAUAUUUCAUCAUGAGAAUGUGGGUCAAGGCUUAUAUAUUUGAUAAUUGAUUAAUUUUUUAUUUUUGGUUAUCUGAUUAAUUUUUUCUAAUCAAAACGGCUUGUGGCUAAUAUUUAAUUCCUAUAAAAGAUCUCUUUUGAUGGAUUUGGAGACUUCUAAAACUUAAGUAAGUAUCGUUGGAGGAUAUAAAGUAAAAUUAUAUUUUAGAAAAGAAUUCCAAUUAUAAAUAUGUAAUAGGGAGUCCAAAAAAAAUUGAAACUUCUUUGGAAGGAUUUUCACGGUCCUUUUUAUAGCACAUAUGACUUGUCUCUUUUUGAAUGGAAGAUGUGAAAGUAUAAGUAAAAUAUUUAUGACUUGUUAAAUUAAAAUAUUUUUCACUUAUUAAGGAGUAACAUAUCUUUGACUGAUGGUCUAAUCAUAGAAUCUAAGAUUCUAGGAGUAAAAAAAGAGCAUGGGCACAACGCUUGGUUGAGUCUAAAAAUGAUAAAUCUGGUAGCUUGCUGGACCUAUAUAUAUAUAUCUGAGCUCAACACUUAACUGAGUUAAAAAUAUUGAUUUAUCACCUUAUCUUUAGUCAUUUUUUAGAAAAGACAAUUAAGAUAAAAAUAAAAUAUGCUUGUGAAAAAUAAAACUUCUUGAAAAAAAAAAUCCAAUUAACUCUUCUAGAGAAGAAAUUACAUGCAUUAAUAUAUAAUAGAUAUUUGGCCCGCAUUUACAGUAGUUUAGAUUUUUUUUUCUCAAUAAAAACAUUUAUAGACUUUUUCAACAUGUUUUUUUAUUUUAAAAAAAUUCUAAGUGAAAAUCAAAAUAUUUAUACAUAUAUGCAAUCAAAUAAAUUGAGAACUGUGUAUAUUAAUAAGUGAAAAAAAAAACAUAAACGAUGACUAAAUAUAAAAACUGGAAAAAUCGAAAGACAUGUAUAGAUCAAAAUAUUUAAUUUUGCAAGAUGUGACAUUUAGGCGGUUGUGUUUGCUAAAUUUGUUAAUUAAAAUAAUUUUUUUAUCCAAUCAAACGAUAAUAAAAAUAAACACACAUAUUAAAUUGAUUGAAUAAAAUAAAAGAAAAAAAACAAGUAAAGUUGUACAUAUUAUAAAUAUUAUUUGAAAAUAAAUUUCUUUUUAUUUUCAGAAAUAAAGUUCAUCUAUACAAAAGAUUAAAAAAAUAUAGAUUAAUCAUAAAAAUCUCAUCAAAAAUUAAAUGUAUAAUUAAAAAAUAAUUAUCAUUUCAAAUAGGCUUUCUAAAUAACAUAAAAGAGAGAAGAGAUAUUAAUCUAAAUAUAAAUAUAAAUAUAAAUAAAAUUAAUAUUAAUAUUAAUAUUAAUUUUAAAAAAUAAAAAUAAAAAAAUAAAAUAGUUUUUCUUCAACAAAAAAAGAGAGUAAAUAGUGUCGUCCACAGUAAAACUUGUAGGGUGAACCCAGACCAUGAACUCAACCGGUUUUUUCCCCUUAAAUUUAUGGCAAACCUAAAAAAAAGUGAACAAUGUUGUCCAUGGUAAAACAUAAGGGGAUGAACAUUGCGGUUGCACAGUAUUUACCUCACACAUUUUUCCCUUAAAUUUAUAGAAAAACCUUAAAAAAAAUAAUGACUAGUGUCGUCCACAGUAAAACGCGAGGGGGUGAACAGUGUGUCUGUAUAGUGUUCACAACACACGCUUUAGUUUAUUUAGGGUGAACCCGGAUCAUGAACUUAAUCGGGUUUAAUAUUUUUCCCCCUCAAAUUUAUACCAAACCUAAAAAAAGUGAACAAUGUCGUCUAUGGAUGAGGGGGCGAACAAUGCGGCUGUAUAAUGUUCACCCCGUAUGCUUUAUAUAUAUAUGAAAAAUGGGAAAAACACUGUGGACUUGCAUAUUAUUUUUCCCACGCAGUUUAGAUUAUACUAAAUAGAUUGCCUGCGCGUUGCUGCGGGUUACUUUUAGAAACAUGUGCUGCUUUUAAUUAUGAGACAAUUGAAAAAAAAAAGUGUUUUCUAAGCAUGCAAUCAAGAGCUGAUAGCAUUAAAAAGGUAUAUGAUUUGCUUUCAAGCAAUGAAUAAGUAACAUGCAAAAAACUUGCAUAAACUGUCUCGAAUUUCGUAUAAGAAUCAAAUUGUAAAAUAUAAAGAGAGAUCAAUCUAACAUAGGCAUUGUUUGAACAACUCAAAAUAAAAGGUGGCAUGAUAUAUAUAUAUCGAAAAACUUAUGCACGACUUUAAUUAAACAACCUAAUAAACAUUGUGUAAAUUAAUGACAAAAAAAAUCAUCAACAAUAAAAAAAAAGAUGAAUUGAGAAAACCAAGCGAAAAAUAAAGAUCAAAAUAUCUCACAUCACAACACGGGUAAUUUACUUGGUCAUGUUUAAUAAAUUCCUCUAUCAAAAUAAGUUUGUAAUAGAAAAACAAAUAAAAUUUGUAAUAGAAACCGACACACAUAAAAUUUAUUGAACAAUAUAUAUAAAAAAAAUACUGCAAAGCUGCAUAUAUGAAAAAUCUUAUAAAAAAUCAAUAUUAAAAACAAUCUAUAUAAAAUUAAGAAAAAACCAAAGAUGAAUCAUACUCACCUCUCUAAAAACUAAAUACACCCAAUAUCAUUUAAAAAUAUCACAAUCUAAUUAAAAUAUAAAUAAAAAAUUUAUUUGGAAAAGUAUACACAAAUGAUGCAUUAUUUAAAAAAAAAGUAUACAUAUAAAAAAGAACUAGGUCAGAAGCUUGUAGGUCUGGUAAGCUAGGCCCGACGCCUGGCCUAAUGAACCAACGGCCUGCACUUGGGCCUGCAAUGCCAGGCCUAAGCGCAUGCCCUUUUUUAAAGUUUAAUGGGGUGGACAAUGCGUCGUCCGCCCCAAAUAUUUCAAAAAAAAAUGAUGCGUCGCUUACUCCAUCCUAGAAUACGGCCAUUGUGGUGGCUGAAAAAACAAGGUCCGUCGUUUUUUCACCUAAAAAUCUCAUUUUAAACCCAUUUUUUUUUUUACCCAAAACACCUACAAAUAGGGGUGAUUAUUUUCAGUUCGGUUCGAUUUUUAUCAAAAAAAGUAACCAAACUGGUUUUUUUAAAAUACCGAAAUCAGUUCAAACCGAUCGAUUUCAGUUCGGUUUGGUUAUUUUAGAACAAAAACUGGUUCAAACCGAUCGGGUUCAGUUUGGUUUGGCUCUGUUUUUUCGAUUUGACUCAGUUUUUUCCGAUUUGGCUUGGUUUUUGGUUUGGGUUUGGCUCGGUUUUUUUGGUUUCAGGCUUAUAAAACCAAACCGAACCAUUUGGUUUUUUUAAAAAUUCUAAUCAUAUUUUUUUCACGGUUCGGUUUUUUCAGUUAUUGUUUUCUAGUUUUCUUAGUUUAAUCGGUUUCUUGGUAUUUUUGCUCAUUCCUACCUAGAAAACACCAUAGAGACCUUUUUAAACCAAUCCAUUGCAACAAAAAAGCCAAAAAACCAUCACAAAAUCCACUCGAAACAAAAAUUCUUCAGGAGCUUAGAUUUGUUGUUUUAGGUGUUUUGAAGGUAAAAACAAAUACCUAAACAUAACCCCCUCAUCAUAUGAAACCUUCUAACACAAAAAUCAACCAUUUUAGUGAUCAGAAUCUUCCCCAAUAGCUACUUUCUCUCUCUAGACCGGAAUCUGAGGACUCCCUCUCUCUCCUCUCAACAAAAAAAGACUGAAAAAAAAGGAAAAUAAAGUUAGGUAUCAAAAUGUAUUAUUUUGAAAUAUAAGGCACCAAUCACUUUAUACCAAAAAAAUAUUGCGGAUUAAAAUGAAUGUUUCAAUGAAACUUUCAACCCUCUCCUAAUGCUACCCGAGAUUUUCACUUCAGUCCCUUAACUUUCAAUUCAAUCCUCCUUUUAAUAAAAAUACAAUCGAAGGCUAAUUUAGGCUCCAAAAAUCCAAAUCAUGCAAAAUAAAAGUUCAGAGAUUAAAGUGAAAAUUUUCAAAAAUUACAGUGUUCAAAUCCACAGUAGAUUAUGAAAUAGUGCACAGUGUUUUAGCUAAUGUAAAAAGCUGAUGCCUUUUAGCUUUGUACUAGUUAGGUGGCCCGCGCUACGUUGCGAGCCAAUAUUUUUUUAGCAUAAAAAUAUAUAUAAAAAAACUAAGACCCAAGAGCCUUGGGUCUCACUGCAGCGUCAGACCCAAGAGAAUUGGAUUUGGGUUUGGCUACACCGUCAGACC